CCUACGGGAGGCAGCAGUGGGGAAUAUUGCACAAUGGGGGAAACCCUGAUGCAGCAACGCCGCGUGAAGGAAGACGGUUUUCGGAUUGUAAACUUCUGUUCUUAGUGAAGAAUAAUGACGGUAGCUAAGGAGCAAGCCACGGCUAACUACGUGCCAGCAGCCGCGGUAAUACGUAGGUGGCAAGCGUUGUCCGGAAUUACUGGGUGUAAAGGGAGCGCAGGCGGGAAGCCAAGUCAGCUGUGAAAACUACGGGCUUAACUUGUAGACUGCAGUUGAAACUGGUAGUCUCGAGUUGGAGAGAAGUAUGCGGAAUGCGCGGUGUAGCGGUGAAAUGCAUAGAUAUCGCGCAGAACUCCGAUUGCGAAGGCAGCAUGCCGGCUCCACACUGACGCUGAGGCACGAAAGCGUGGGUAUCGAACAGGAUUAGAUACCCUAGUAGUC
RNAcentral lists this ribosomal RNA (441 nucleotides) under uncultured bacterium. Its description in RNAcentral is "partial 16S ribosomal RNA". It matches the Rfam family "Bacterial small subunit ribosomal RNA", at positions 338 to 795 of the family's 1533-position model. The record is from RNAcentral.